CCCGCUGAACUUAAGCAUAUCAAUAAGCCGGAGGA
RNAcentral lists this ribosomal RNA (35 nucleotides) under Neofusicoccum parvum. Its description in RNAcentral is "partial 28S ribosomal RNA". The record is from RNAcentral. Lineage: Eukaryota; Fungi; Ascomycota; Dothideomycetes; Botryosphaeriales; Botryosphaeriaceae.